Molecule: ribosomal RNA, 253 nt
Filed under: uncultured bacterium
Lineage: Bacteria
Description: partial 16S ribosomal RNA
Rfam family: Bacterial small subunit ribosomal RNA
Source: RNAcentral
UACGUAGGGUGCGAGCGUUAAUCGGAAUUACUGGGCGUAAAGCGUGCGCAGGCGGUUCGUUGUGUCGGCGGUGAAAGCCCCGGGCUUAACCUGGGAAUGGCCGUUGAAACUGGCGAACUGGAGGGUGGCAGAGGGGGGUGGAAUUCCGCGUGUAGCAGUGAAAUGCGUAGAGAUGCGGAGGAACACCGAUGGCGAAGGCAGCCCCCUGGGCUAACACUGACGCUCAGGCACGAAAGCGUGGGGAGCAAACAGG